CCUACGGGAGACUGCAGUCGAGAAUCAUUCACAAUGGGGGAAACCCUGAUGGUGCGACGCCGCGUGGGGGAAUGAAGGUCUUCGGAUUGUAAACCCCUGUCAUGUGGGAGCAAAUUAAAAAGAUAGUACCACAAGAGGAAGAGACGGCUAACUCUGUGCCAGCAGCCGCGGGAAUACAGAGGUCUCAAGCGGUGUUCGGAAUCACUGGGCGUAAAGCGUGCGUAGGCUGUUUCGUAAGUCGUGUGUGAAAGGCGCGGGCUCAACCCGCGGACGGCACAUGAUACUGCGAGACUAGAGUAAUGGAGGGGGAACCGGAAUUCUCGGUGUAGCAGUGAAAUGCGUAGAUAUCGAGAGGAACACUCGUGGCGAAGGCGGGUUCCUGGACAUUAACUGACGCUGAGGCACGAAGGCCAGGGGAGCGAAAGGGAUUAGAUACCCUUGUAGUC
RNAcentral lists this ribosomal RNA (446 nucleotides) under uncultured bacterium. RNAcentral's name for it is "partial 16S ribosomal RNA". It matches the Rfam family "Bacterial small subunit ribosomal RNA", at positions 338 to 795 of the family's 1533-position model. The record is from RNAcentral.